RNAcentral lists this long non-coding RNA (2806 nucleotides) under Fragaria vesca (wild strawberry). RNAcentral's name for it is "long non-coding RNA (FVES_LNC003409)". The record is from RNAcentral. Lineage: Eukaryota; Viridiplantae; Streptophyta; Magnoliopsida; Rosales; Rosaceae.
AUUCGGUACCCAAAUGAUCUUCAAAUUUGAUGAAACUUUAUAUGAAUGAUCUACACACUGUGCUUUAGACAUUGUACGGUUGAGAUGUGGAAAUACGACCUGAAAGUGAGCGAAAUAAGAAGUCCCACACUUUAAUUUCAAAGCGGGAUCCCACUCUAGAAAGGGACUAUACAUAUAUAUAUAUAUAUAUUAAUAUAUAUGAAAACCAAGUAAUCAAUGAUAUAAUUGAGUUAUAUAAUUGUAAUACCCUAGAUUUUCAUAUCAAUUUUCCUUGUAUUAUUUCCUUAUUUAAUGAAGGAUUAUUUAUGGAAAUUCUUUGGUUUCUGCGAAGUUGAAGUUUUGGGAGUUUAUUUAAGUGCUUUGACUUUUGAGAGGCCAAAAGUUGACUUUAUUUUCCGUAAGUUAUCUUCGAAAACUUCCUUUACGAAAGUUGUAGAGUUUGUUGAUACGAGUUUGUAUACAUGCGGCACGUCUGAAACGGAUGUCGUAUGAAGAAGUUAUGUUCAGAGGAAGUUUGUUUUCGGGUUUGAAAAGAGUAUAAGUAAAAAAAUGUGUGUGGGAUUAAUUAGAACCCUAAAACCAGUUCCCCUCUUCUCUCUCUCUCUCCUCCCACCCGAGCUCCCCGAGCCUUCACCUUCUUCAGCCGAGUUCUUCCUCCUCUGGCCACCAAACCGGACGCCACCGGUCCCAUUCGACUCCCAUAGCAGCCCUCUUCAUUUCUGGAGCAGUCCCGCCGGCUGUUCUGUCGCCACGAAGUGGCGGAGCUGCUGCUGUCUCGCCGGAAAACCGGUGAUUUCGACGCCGUUUUCGGCCAAGUUUAGGUGAGUCUUGAUCCCUUCUUCCUUCUAGUAGUGUCUAGGCAUAGUUGAAGCAAGUUUUUGAGGCCGGUUUUGCAGGUUUUGUAGUGUGAUUUGCUGGUUACCUUUCGGGGCAGUUUCCGGCCGGUUCCGGCCAAAAUUGGUUGAAGCCUCAGGUAUGAAAGUUGCUCCCCUUACUGCAAGCUUCAACUUUGCUGUUGAGAGUUUUCUCUAAUUCGGAAGUCCAUGGAGGCGUGUGGGGCCCACUCGCCGCCGCCUGUGACGGCGCGUGGCAGCGCGUCCGGUAGGAUUGUGGCUUAGGUUGCUAUGUUUUGGCUAGCUCUUGUUGUGGUGAGCUUAUUGAGAUGUAGAAUUCCUAAGUUGUGAGCUUUGUUCGUAUGAUAGGAUUUUAAGUUUGUUAUUAGGUUUGGUUGAGGGUUGAGUUAGGAUUUGAGGAUUAGAGGAAGCCAUUUUGGGUCUCUAAGUUCGACAACCUUGAAAAGUUGACAUCACUUGAACUAAGGGUUAGUUAAGGGGUAUUGUGAUAACCUAUAGUAUUUUAUUACUAAGGAUUUAUUUGUGUGAUUUUAGGUGAUUUGUGAUUUUGUGAUUGGCUUGCCUUCGUUGUGUUGGGGGUUUUGCAGCGGGAUUUCUAGGUGAGUAAAUCUCACCAAGGUUCACUUUUGAACCAAAUUUAAUUAUGGUCAUGUGAUGAUGAUAAUGAUGAUGAUGUUGGAUUUAAUAUUAUGCUUUUAAUUGUUUUUAAAAAUAUAUGAGUUUGAUCACCAACGGCUCAAAGGUAAGGUAAAACAAGUUUUCUUUAUGUGCUAUUUUGAGAUUCAUGUGAUCAUGAGUUUAUUGAUUAUUUAUAGAUUAUUCUUGUGGAAUAUCUAUAUUUUGUUCAGGUAAAUAUUUCCAUAUGAAAGAAUAGAAUUAAUGAUGUGAUAUUGUGUUGUUGAGAAUAAUAAUGUGAUAUUGUGUGGUUGAGAAUAAUGAUGUGAUAUUGUGUUGUUGAGGUUAAUGUUGUGAUAUUCUGAUUUUUUGAUAAAUAGCCAAACCGGGUUCCAAGUCCUUAAUUGGGUGAUUGGUUGCGGUUAAGUUGCUAUUUAUCAUUUUUGUGUUUGAUAUUAGACAGUCAAACUGGGUUCCAAGCCUUUGGCCGGGUGAUUGGUUGCGGUUAGGAAUAGAGCUCUAGUCCGUCUGUCAGUGUAGGUCAUGGGAGAUACUGUAUGGUAUCUGGGACCCAUGGGUACACAUAGUGUUGUUGUAGGUCAUGAGGGGUAUUUUAUUAAAUAUCUAGGACUCAUGGGUACUUUUCUUAGGUAAUGUGUUGGAUGUGUGUUUUUCUUUAAUUAUGGAUCCAAUUUCUCUUGUGGAAUAUUGGAUGUGAUAAAUGUUAUGUUAUUUUUGAGUUUACUCAUACGAACUUUUUAGCUUACCGGGUUUGUUGUUUACAACCCGGUGCACCAAUUCUUGGUGUAGGGGUUAAACCUGCAGGUGAGGAUCAGCAGGGUUGAGAUGGAGGCUUAGUGACAGGGUUUUUUGUUGGGUUUUAGUUGUUCAUUGUAUAUAUUUAUUUUUUUAUAUAUACAUUGGGAUAGUCAAUAAUAAACUCAUGUGAGCGUCUCAUUUUCUUGACUCUCGAGUUUAUGUAAACAAGGAAAUGUAAUAUUUAACUCAAUAUGGAGUUGUGUGUAAAUUUUACUUUCCGCAUUGAGUUUAGUUUCAUUGAAAUUUUGUUGAAACAGGUUUUGAGAUUAUAUUAUUUUAAGGGAUAUUAUGCCAAAAUUUUUGAAAAUUUCCUUUCGAAAAUUGGGGUGUGACAAUAAUAUUAGUUAUUACACAAAUUAAUAUAUCAUUGAGUUAUCGUAUCGAUAUGAUUAUAUAUUCAUUGACAUUGAUAUUUGAAUGUUUUUACUGAUGCAGCGUCGGACAAUUGCAAACAAGAACAAUCAUUUGAAGAAACAAAUGAGUCACAACACAAGAACAAGAAUGUUUGCUCAAGUGAG